CCCCAGCGAUGUGCAGGCACCACUCCGUGUGGUGCUGGGGAUUAGUAUUCGAGAAUCCAAGAGUAUUCGAUGAAGCAAAGACCUGC
RNAcentral lists this non-coding RNA (86 nucleotides) under unclassified sequences. The record is from RNAcentral.